This 554-nucleotide ribosomal RNA is filed under the name uncultured bacterium. Its description in RNAcentral is "partial 16S ribosomal RNA". It matches the Rfam family "Bacterial small subunit ribosomal RNA", at positions 355 to 900 of the family's 1533-position model. The record is from RNAcentral.
UGGGGAAUUUUGGACAAUGGGCGAAAGCCUGAUCCAGCAAUGCCGCGUGUGUGAAGAAGGCCUUCGGGUUGUAAAGCACUUUUGUCCGGAAAGAAAUCCUUGGCUCUAAUACAGUCGGGGGAUGACGGUACCGGAAGAAUAAGCACCGGCUAACUACGUGCCAGCAGCCGCGGUAAUACGUAGGGUGCAAGCGUUAAUCGGAAUUACUGGGCGUAAAGCGUGCGCAGGCGGUUUGCUAAGACCGAUGUGAAAUCCCCGGGCUCAACCUGGGAACUGCAUUGGUGACUGGCAGGCUAGAGUAUGGCAGAGGGGGGUAGAAUUCCACGUGUAGCAGUGAAAUGCGUAGAGAUGUGGAGGAAUACCGAUGGCGAAGGCAGCCCCCUGGGCCAAUACUGACGCUCAUGCACGAAAGCGUGGGGGAGCAAACAGGAUUAGAUACCCUGGUAGUCCACGCCCUAAAACGAUGUCAACUAGUUGUUGGGGAUUCAUUUCCUUAGUAACGUAGCUAACGCGUGAAGUUGACCGCCUGGGGAGUACGGUCGCAAGAUUAAAAC